Molecule: transfer RNA, 60 nt
Filed under: Phrynocephalus luteoguttatus (yellow-speckled toad-headed agama)
Lineage: Eukaryota; Metazoa; Chordata; Lepidosauria; Squamata; Agamidae
Description: tRNA-Cys
Source: RNAcentral
GACCUAUAUAGUGCCAAAUUGCAACUUUGGUUUAUGAAGAUAUAAGUCUUCAUAGGUUUA